CGCGCAGGCGGUCCUUCAAGUCAGAGGUGAAAGCCCAGAGCUCAACUCUGGAACGGCCUUUGAAACUAGAGGACUUGGGUACGGGAGAGGUGAGUGGAAUUCCGAGUGUAGAGGUGAAAUUCGUAGAUAUUCGGAAGAACACCAGUGGCGAAGGCGGCUCACUGGCCCGUUACCGACGCUCAGGCGCGACAGCGUGGGGAGCAAACA
Molecule: ribosomal RNA, 207 nt
Filed under: uncultured bacterium
Lineage: Bacteria
Description: partial 16S ribosomal RNA
Rfam family: Bacterial small subunit ribosomal RNA
Source: RNAcentral